This 497-nucleotide ribosomal RNA is filed under the name uncultured bacterium. RNAcentral's name for it is "partial 16S ribosomal RNA". It matches the Rfam family "Bacterial small subunit ribosomal RNA", at positions 28 to 507 of the family's 1533-position model. The record is from RNAcentral.
GAUGAACGCUGGCGGCGUGCCUAAUACAUGCAAGUCGAGCGAACGGACGAGAAGCUUGCUUUUCUGAUGUUAGCGGCGGACGGGUGAGUAACACGUGGAUAACCUACCUAUAAGACUGGGAUAACUUCGGGACACCGGAGCUAAUACCGGAUAAUAUUUUGAACCGCAUGGUUCAAAAGUGAAAGACGGUCUUGCUGUCACUUAUAGAUGGAUCCGCGCUGCAUUAGCUAGUUGGUAAGGUAACGGCUUACCAAGGCAACGAUGCAUAGCCGACCUGAGAGGGUGAUCGGCCACACUGGAACUGAGACACGGUCCAGACUCCUACGGGAGGCAGCAGUAGGGAAUCUUGCGCAAUGGGCGAAAGCCUGACGGAGCAACGCCGCGUGAGUGAAGAAGGUCUUCGGAUCGUAAAACUCUGUUAUUAGGGAAGAACAUAUGUGUAAGUAACUGUGCACAUCUUGACGGUACCUAAUCAGAAAGCCACGGCUAACUACGUG